GAUGAAGAACGCAGCGAAAUGCGAUACGUAAUGUGAAUUGCAGAAUUCAGUGAAUCAUCGAGUCUUUGAACGCACAUUGCGCCCCCUGGUAUUCCGGGGGGCAUGCCUGUCCGAGCAUCAUUGCUGCCCUCAAGCACGGCUUGUGUGUUGGGCCUCCGUCCUCCUCCCGGGGGACGGGCCCGAAAGGCAGCGGCGGCACCGCGUCCGGUCCUCGAGCGUAUGGGGCUUCGUCACCCGCUCUUGUAGGCCCGGCCGGCGCUUGCCGACACAUCAAUCUUUUUUCCAGGUUGACCUCGGAUCAGGUAGGGAUACCCGCUGAACUUAAGCAUAUCAAUAAGCGGAGGA
RNAcentral lists this unclassified non-coding RNA (345 nucleotides) under soil metagenome. RNAcentral's name for it is "partial contains 5.8S ribosomal RNA, internal transcribed spacer 2, and large subunit ribosomal RNA". The stretch from base 1 to 120 matches the Rfam family "5.8S ribosomal RNA", at positions 35 to 154 of the family's 154-position model. The record is from RNAcentral.